RNAcentral lists this transfer RNA (58 nucleotides) under Rodentibacter pneumotropicus. RNAcentral's name for it is "tRNA-Lys". It matches the Rfam family "tRNA", at positions 8 to 63 of the family's 71-position model. Rfam says of the family: Transfer RNA (tRNA) molecules are approximately 80 nucleotides in length. Their secondary structure includes four short double-helical elements and three loops (D, anti-codon, and T loops). Further hydrogen bonds mediate the characteristic L-shaped molecular structure. tRNAs have two regions of fundamental functional importance: the anti-codon, which is responsible for specific mRNA codon recognition, and the 3' end, to which the tRNAs corresponding amino acid is attached (by aminoacyl-tRNA synthetases). tRNAs cope with the degeneracy of the genetic code in two manners: having more than one tRNA (with a specific anti-codon) for a particular amino acid; and 'wobble' base-pairing, i.e. permitting non-standard base-pairing at the 3rd anti-codon position. The record is from RNAcentral. Lineage: Bacteria; Pseudomonadati; Pseudomonadota; Gammaproteobacteria; Pasteurellales; Pasteurellaceae.
UAGCUCAGUCGGUAGAGCAGCGGACUUUUAAUCCGUUGGUCGAAGGUUCGAAUCCUUC